GACGAACGCUGGCGGCGUGCUUAACACAUGCAAGUCGAACGAAGAGCGAUGGAAGCUUGCUUCUAUCAAUCUUAGUGGCGAACGGGUGAGUAACGCGUAAUCAACCUGCCCUUCAGAGGGGGACAACAGUUGGAAACGACUGCUAAUACCGCAUACGAUCUAACCUCGGCAUCGAGGAUGGAUGAAAGGUGGCCUCUAUUUAUAAGCUAUCACUGAAGGAGGGGAUUGCGUCUGAUUAGCUAGUUGGAGGGGUAACGGCCCACCAAGGCGAUGAUCAGUAGCCGGUCUGAGAGGAUGAACGGCCACAUUGGGACUGAGACACGGCCCAGACUCCUACGGGAGGCAGCAGUGGGGAAUCUUCCGCAAUGGACGAAAGUCUGACGGAGCAACGCCGUGUGAGUGAUGACGGCCUUCGGGUUGUAAAGCUCUGUUAAUCGGGACGAAAGGCCUUCUUGCGAAUAGUUAGAAGGAUUGACGGUACCGGAAUAGAAAGCCACGGCUAACUACGUG
Molecule: ribosomal RNA, 510 nt
Filed under: uncultured bacterium
Lineage: Bacteria
Description: partial 16S ribosomal RNA
Rfam family: Bacterial small subunit ribosomal RNA
Source: RNAcentral